This 269-nucleotide signal recognition particle RNA is filed under the name Clostridia bacterium. RNAcentral describes it as "signal recognition particle sRNA large type". It matches the Rfam family "Bacterial large signal recognition particle RNA". Rfam says of the family: The signal recognition particle (SRP) is a universally conserved ribonucleoprotein involved in the co-translational targeting of proteins to membranes. Archaeal SRP consists of a 7S RNA and homologues of the eukaryotic SRP19 and SRP54 proteins. The record is from RNAcentral. Lineage: Bacteria; Bacillati; Bacillota; Clostridia.
UCGUACUGGUCGGGGUGGUAGCGGUACCCUGUAGCCCUCAAUCCGCUAUAGAGGGGACGAUCUCCUUUAGGAGGGAGCUUUAAGUGUAUGGCAGGCUUAUAUCAAGGGCUGUGACGGUCUGGUCCUGCGCAAUGGCGAGCCGUGAACCUUGUCAGGUGGGGAACCAAGCAGCAAUAAGCGGUGUCCGUCAUGUGCCGCGGGGGCGCCUGACCUGAGCUUUUUGAUAUAAAUACCGCAUACAUUUAAGUUCCCGACUAAAGGAUGUACGA